RNAcentral lists this transfer RNA (85 nucleotides) under Methylocella tundrae. RNAcentral's name for it is "tRNA-Leu". It matches the Rfam family "tRNA". Rfam says of the family: Transfer RNA (tRNA) molecules are approximately 80 nucleotides in length. Their secondary structure includes four short double-helical elements and three loops (D, anti-codon, and T loops). Lineage: Bacteria; Pseudomonadati; Pseudomonadota; Alphaproteobacteria; Hyphomicrobiales; Beijerinckiaceae. RNAcentral also lists the same sequence under 2 other names. The record is from RNAcentral.
GCCCUGGUGGCGGAAUUGGUAGACGCGCAGGUUUCAGGUACCUGUGGUGAAAGCCGUGGAGGUUCGAGUCCUCUCCAGGGCACCA